RNAcentral lists this long non-coding RNA (225 nucleotides) under Lathyrus oleraceus (garden pea). RNAcentral's name for it is "Pisum sativum (pea) long non-coding RNA (PSAT_LNC007764)". Lineage: Eukaryota; Viridiplantae; Streptophyta; Magnoliopsida; Fabales; Fabaceae. The record is from RNAcentral.
UUAUGUCUAAGUUUGCAAAUUUAGCAUUCAAACAAUAGAAUAUGUGUACAUCAAGAAGGUUGUAUAGCAAAAUAUUGGUCUUCAUCGUCGAAGAAAUGAUCGUUCAAUUAAGGGGGAGAAAUUAGUUUAUCUUAAAAGGAUAUUGUACUCUUUUUUCUUCACUAGAUUUUUUCUCACAGAGUUUUUUUUCUAUUAAGGUUUUAACGAGGCAUAUUCUAAACAAAC